UACGAAGGGGGCUAGCGUUGCUCGGAAUUACUGGGCGUAAAGGGCGCGUAGGCGGAUGUUUAAGUCAGUGGUGAAAUCCCGAGGCUCAACCUCGGGUCUGCAGUCGAUACGGGCAAACUAGAGUAUUGCAGGGGAGACUGGAAUUCCUGGUGUAGCGGUGAAAUGCGCAGAUAUCAGGAGGAACACCGGUGGCGAAGGCGACAUCCUGGACCGGUAUUGACGCUGAGGCGCGAAAGCCAGGGGAGCAAACGGG
Molecule: ribosomal RNA, 253 nt
Filed under: uncultured bacterium
Lineage: Bacteria
Description: partial 16S ribosomal RNA
Rfam family: Bacterial small subunit ribosomal RNA
Source: RNAcentral